GACUACAGGGGUAUCUAAGCCCGUUUGCUCCCCUGGCUUUCGCGCCUCAGCGUCAGUUGCUGCCCAGCAAGUCGCCUUCGCCACCGGUGUUCUUCCCAAUAUCUACGCAUUUCACCGCUACACUGGGAAUUCCACUUGCCUCUACAGCACUCCAGUACAUCAGUUUCAACCGCAUGCCCGGGUUAAGCCCAGACAUUUCACAGCUGACUUGAUCUACAGCCUGCGCGCCCUUUACGCCCAGUAAUUCCGGACAACGCUCGUCCCCUACGUAUUACCGCGGCUGCUGGCACGUAGUUAGCCGGGACUUAUUCGCACGGUACCGUCACGUCCUUCUUCCCGUACAAAAGAGGUUUACAACCCGAAGGCCGUCUUCCCUCACGCGGCGUCGCUGGGUCAGGGUUGCCCCCAUUGCCCAAUAUUCCCCACUGCAGCCACCCGUAGG
RNAcentral lists this ribosomal RNA (442 nucleotides) under uncultured Synergistaceae bacterium. RNAcentral describes it as "partial 16S ribosomal RNA". Lineage: Bacteria; Thermotogati; Synergistota; Synergistia; Synergistales; Synergistaceae. The record is from RNAcentral.